This is a long non-coding RNA of Panicum hallii, 2217 nucleotides long. RefSeq lists it as uncharacterized. The record is from RefSeq and is a predicted model, not a curated record. The transcript is spliced from 13 exons. NCBI's taxonomy places the organism in Eukaryota, Viridiplantae, Streptophyta, Magnoliopsida, Poales, Poaceae.
GAGCCCUCUCCGAUGCUGUUGCCUCUUACGCGGUAUACGGCUCUCCCACUCCGGCAGCCGCUGCUCUCCCGUCGUCAAGGCCUCCGCUCCAAAAUUUUACAGGCGUCCUCUUAUAUCGUCGGCACGCUCGCCCAUGAAUCCAUCACAGGAGUAGAGUACGGAUCAGGUGGUGGAGGUUGCGCGAACAGAGAAGCUGGCGGAGGUACACCCGUUGCAGCGCUAAGACUCUGCAUGUAAGACCCCAUGGAUAAGGGAAGUUCUUCCAAACCAGCAAAACAGACAGCUAGGAAGAAGGUCGUGAUCCACGAUGACAGUGAUAACUAUGAUGUAGAAAUGUUGAUGAAACUCGAGGAGAUGGAACAGUACAUGUUUUUUCGCGCCAUUGUGCUUUGUUGCGUGGAAGACACGUCCGGUCUCGAAUGGGACAACGAUCAGUUACAAAGGGAUGACAUUCAUAGUGAAAAGGCUGGUAAUGAAAAGUCGAUGGAGAGGGGUAGCGAUGAAGACAAGGGCAAUGAAGAGUCGGUGCUGGAUAGUAAUAUGACCAGCGACGUUGCGGACGAACGAGAUGUCAUGGUUGACACUCGUAAGGACAACACCAGUGUGGAGAAAGGUUAUGACAUGCCCACAGCAGGAACAUACAAUCAUGAUACAGAAGAUGGAACUGCAAGUGAUUUGGAAGGAGGCAAUAAUAGCCAUGAUUGAUUCAGAUAAGGUUGACACCAACAAGGAGAAUCAUGUUGGCACGAUCGGAACGGAAAAGAAACUCGCCGCGGUUAGUGUCGGCCGACCCGGAUGUCACGACCAAGUUUGGUAAUGAGCCAAUAGGUAAAGAGCGUGGAUUACAUGAGAUCUGGCGAUCCAUGGUUCAUAACAAAACAAAAAGAUCAUGGUCGGCGUGGAUUGUACCAAAAGAUUAUGCUUGCAGUAAAGAUGACCUUUUCAUUAUUGAGCAUAUCAAAGAAAUUCCAUCUUCACCGGGUCAGGAAGUGGUAGUGGAGAUUGAUGGUAUUCCUAUAAAUCGAUAUCAUACAGAAUAUCUUUUUCAACCAGACAGUCACGUGUAUGACGAGUUUUUCAUGCGGGUUAUUUUUAAUCAAUUUUGUGGAGUACUGGACAGGUGAUGUGCUCUCCGACUCCAUAACACAGGUUGUUUAGAUAGCUUACCGGAAAAAUUAUCAUUAUUGGUUAACAAAUUUAUUAAUCAUAUCCAUUUUAUAUCUAUUAUGUAUGGAAGGAUUUAGGUUGAAACUUGCUGCUAUUUUGAUAUCUUCUUUUCUCAACAUCCGAAGAGGAUAUCCAUUAUUUCCGCGCAAUGAUGAUGGACCUGGAAGUCCAAAGGAUGUAGUGGAAAUAGAUGAUCCUAAACAGGAGAACACAACUCCAAGCAAUGGAAAGCGUGAUAGAGAUGGUAACAGUACAAUGGGCCAGCAGGGGACACGUGACAUCAUACUAACGCAGCAAAACUCUACACCGAUUCAUCGUGACCAAUCCAAAGAUGAUUUUUUAGACUCCAUUUUAAAGCAGAACAUGAAUCUGCGCAAAGAAGAUAUGAUAGGGAUAUUCUGCGACUACAUCGCAUCAAUUGACGAUGCCGUUGUCUUGGAAAGAUGUGUGAUUUAACAAGAUAUCCGAAAUUUUGCAAAAGCUAUAGUAAUAAAGAGCUAGGUGCAGCAAUUGGGAGAGGGUCAAUUCUAAACUACGACCACUUAUGUUGCAAAUACUUCCUCCUUCCAUGGUUCACGGGGAAAAACUUCAUGCUAUAUGUCUUGGAUCAUGUGGAGAAAAAACUUAUUAUGAUUGAUCUGUCACGUGUUUCGGAGUGGUGUGAAGAUGUUCCAUAUAGAAAAUAUGGAGAGACUAUUACACAUUUCUAUAAGAAGUAUACAACUGCAAUGAAUGUGAAUAGUCCCAGGUGGGAUCAGAAUAUCUACAAGUGGUCGUUCACACAUGAAAAGGGAAUUGUUGACGAUGAGGAGGAAGGGUAUUCUACGGGCUACCUAGUUCUGCAGUACAUGUCUUGGUGGAAAAGUACCUAGAGCAUGGAGAUUUGUACGGAUCGCGUUACUAUGCGGCAGAACUUCAUCAUCGAUGUGUUGUCAUCAGGAGUGAAUGCUUAUCGACAACUGCUUCCUGCUGAAAUAAAAAAUUAUCUUAGCUGCAUCGAUAGAUGGAAUAUAAAAUAUAAUUUACUGUACAUUUGUUUGUAUAUCAGUU